This 497-nucleotide ribosomal RNA is filed under the name uncultured bacterium. Its description in RNAcentral is "partial 16S ribosomal RNA". It matches the Rfam family "Bacterial small subunit ribosomal RNA", at positions 28 to 507 of the family's 1533-position model. The record is from RNAcentral.
GAUGAACGCUGGCGGCGUGCCUAAUACAUGCAAGUCGAGCGAACGGACGAGAAGCUUGCUUCUCUGAUGUUAGCGGCGGACGGGUGAGUAACACGUGGAUAACCUACCUAUAAGACUGGGAUAACUUCGGGAAACCGGAGCUAAUACCGGAUAAUAUUUUGAACCGCAUGGUUCAAAAGUGAAAGACGGUCUUGCUGUCACUUAUAGAUGGAUCCGCGCUGCAUUAGCUAGUUGGUAAGGUAACGGCUUACCAAGGCAACGAUGCAUAGCCGAACUGAGAGGGUGAUAGGCCACACUGGAACUGAGACACGGUCCAGACUCCUACGGGAGGCAGCAGUAGGGAAUCUUCCGCAAUGGGCGAAAGCCUGACGGAGCAACGCCGCGUGAGUGAUGAAGGUCUUCGGAUCGUAAAACUCUGUUAUUAGGGAAGAACAUAUGUGUAAGUAACUGUGCACAUCUUGACGGUACCUAAUCAGAAAGCCACGGCUAACUACGUG